UACGUAUGGAGCAAGCGUUAUCCGGAUUUACUGGGUGUAAAGGGUGCGUAGGUGGCAGUGCAAGUCAGAUGUGAAAGGCCGGGGCUCAACCCCGGAGCUGCAUUUGAAACUGCUCGGCUAGAGUACAGGAGAGGCAGGCGGAAUUCCUAGUGUAGCGGUGAAAUGCGUAGAUAUUAGGAGGAACACCAGUGGCGAAGGCGGCCUGCUGGACUGUUACUGACACUGAGGCACGAAAGCGUGGGGAGCAAACAGGAUUAGAAACCUGGUAGUCUGACUGACU
Molecule: ribosomal RNA, 280 nt
Filed under: Anaerobutyricum hallii
Lineage: Bacteria; Bacillati; Bacillota; Clostridia; Lachnospirales; Lachnospiraceae
Description: partial 16S ribosomal RNA
Rfam family: Bacterial small subunit ribosomal RNA
Source: RNAcentral